AGGCGUGAGCCACCGUGCCCCCCGGAGAGUUUAUUUUUAAAGAGACUAUUUACAAGAGAGUUGGUGGGGUAUAAAGAAAACACAAAGGCUCGUCCAGGAAUUAGGGCUUAGGAACAGCAGGAUGGCUGAUGCCCGUAGGUACUAAGGGAGUGAUUAUCAGAACCUGGAAAGGCAGUGUCAUUUGUAGGAGACCCCUUUGAGAGGAGCAAUGACUUCUAUUCAGGGGACACAGACUAUUCAAGGGACACAGAUAGCCAGAGGCUUUUUUCCUGGGAAAAAAGCCAAGGGAAUAAAAACUUUGAUCUCACCCUCUCCCUUCCUCUGAUUUUCUGCCAGAGCUCUCCGUUGGCCAAACCAAACUGGAAGGCAAAGGGAAAGGGAGCACGUUCAUCUGGGUCAGCCUCCCAGGGCAGAGCAGAAGGUCCAGAAUCUAGAUGUUAAUACAUGUAUUCAUAUAGAAGAUUUAUAAUUUCAUCAAGUAUUAAUCCAGAAACUCAACAGGAAGGAAACAGAGAAUGCCACUUAGCCUCAGCUACAAGUAGGACCUACUUAUAAAGAAAAUGCACUUCAAAUAAUGAAUUCAGUGGCACUGUUGAGAAGCCCAGGUUCAUUGUCCACUGCUCAAGGAGAAGCCAAUACACUGAGACAGCAGGGUUUACAACAGAGAAAGAGUUUAAUACUACAGAUACAGGCAUCUUGCUGUGUUGCUCCAGCUGGUCCUGAACUUCUGGCUUAAAGCAAUCCUCUUACCUGAGCCUCCCAAUGUGCUGGGAUUAUAGGCAUGCGUCACCGUUUUCAGCUAGAUUACUCUUUCUUAGUAGUGAGAUCAGAGAAUGCUGCCUGUUUUAAACUGCAUUUUAAAAAAGUCUUUGAAAAAGAGUUCAAAUUUGAAUAUGCAGAAUUGGGAAGGGGGAGCCAGGAAGGGGCCCAGGGAAGAGAAUCCAAACAAAAAUGCAAACAAAACUCCAAAAAUAUUUCUUACUAAUAAUGGGGAAGUAGCUAUAAACACACCAGCUAUUAUCCUUAUCAUCCUUAUUUGAACACUAUUUGGUAUAUUGGCCACUUUGCCUACCACGCUGAUUUGCUUUCAACUUUCCUUAUAGUAAUAGCUGUUGUGCUCUUCCAGCAGAAUCUUCAGUGUUAGCCCCAAAAUUCUUGUGUUCCAAUCAUGUGAAAGUUGAUUUUGCCGAGUUUGUCAUGAGAUGUUAACAUGUUAAAAAUAUAUAGCUAUGUCAGUCUUUUUCUCUAUGUCCCCUUUGUCAUGGUGAAUAUCCUUUAAAAAAUGCUACAUGAAAUCAUAUUUCUCCGAUAAAUUCAUUAAUAUUAAAAUUUGCUUGAAAUGUUCUUCUUGUUCUUGUAUUAUUCAACCAGAUAAAAAGGAGGAACAGAUCAAUUUCAUGUGCCCUCAGUAAUUGCAAUUUUCAGUAUUUCAAUCAUGUGCCUUUAUACUCUUUCUCUUUUGCCAGCUAAAUAAUCACUUGGAGUUAGUUGCUGCAGUGAAACUUGAAACCUGAUCAUUGAAGAAGCCUGCAAUUUAGCAGAAAACAAGUCACACCAGGAUCUUCUGCUCCAGCUGCAUAUUGAGGAUUCAAGUCUCCUUAAAAAUACCCCUGUGCUUCUAGUUAGUUUAGUUGCUUAAAGAACUUUGCAAACUUGUUGUUUUGGAAGAAUAUUAUACAUUCAUACCCACCUACAACUCCUAGAGGGUUCACUAUAGUCUUACAAUACAAUGCCACUUAAUCAUAAUUUGUGGGAAAUGAGAUGUGCUGGUUAAACAUAUUUUCUGGUUAAACCCUUUUAUCUUUAAAUCUUGUUGCAUGAUUCAGAAUUUUGAGUUGCUUCAUUUCGAAAAAAUGAUGCUGUUAUUGGGAUCAGGACAUAUGCUGCUAGUUGCUGUUCCGAUAUUAUUAUGCUGCUGUUGUCAUUUGUCUCUAAUAAGGGCAGAUCCUUCCUUACUCUCUCUUCUCUCUCUGUUCCUCUCUCUCCCUGCCUUAUGCAUGUGUGCAUGUGUGUAAUCGUAGGUGCCAAUUAAUGCCAGCAAAUGCUCAGCUUUAGAAACACCUGGAAUAAAUUCUCUUAUUUUUCCUCUCCCAGUCACUAGUCCUUCUAAAUUAAAAAAAAAAAAAAGAUUAUUCAUAAAGCCAUAUCUCCAAAUAUUUGUGAAAACAUAUUAUUAACAGCUAUCAAAAGCUCAUCUAUACUUAAAUUUGCCAAGUUGAUAUUUGGUGGUUGUGAAUGUAACCCUUUGGUUACAUCUAGAGAGAACACAGCCUCCGGGAUAUGAAAAAGGAGGGCAUAUGUAACAAUCAUUUUUACAGUCCUAAGCCCUAGGUAGCAGGGAAAACGGUUGGCAUACCAAAAAGUCACCAUUACCACCAUAAAUUUAUUCAGCAAGUUUUUUUUAAAAGUCUACUAUGUGCAAAUUGUCAUGGAGAGGACAAGACAUAGUCUAGUAGUUUAAUGUGGAAAUUAAGGGUUCCACUAAUUUGUCAUAAAUGCCAUGUCCGUGGUUCAGGAAAUAAAUAAUAUGACAAAUCAGAGGAAGAUGAUGUCAUUUCUGACUGCAUGAUAAGGGAAUGUUUUGUAAAAGACAUGACAUCUGAGCUGAUCCUUGAAGAAGGGGUAAGAUUUUAGUAGGCAUUGUUGACGGUUCAGCAAAAACAGAGGUAGGAAUGCCCAACUCUGUUCAGGUACUGUAAGGAAAGAUGCAUGAAAGUGAACAGUGACAGAAAGGCUUAGAAAGGCAGGGAGGAUUCAAUUAGAGAAAACUUCUGCAAGCUAACAUUUGAAUCUUAUUCCAAAUAAAUGAACAUUUUUGACAAAAGCAGUGGUCAAGAGCACAGGCUUUGGCAUAAGAUAGAUUUGAGCUGCAAUCCUGAUUCCACUUAACUGUUUAUGAUCUUGAGCAAGUCAUUUACCUCUCCAAGCCUCAGGCUGGUCAUCUCUAUCACAUACGGCUGUUAUCAGGAUUAAAUGUAAUUGGGAUAUGAAGCACCUACUAAUUCUGAAAACAUUUAUUGAGCUUCCACUGGGUAAGUCCCAGUCACUGAGCUUUGUACUGGUGAUGCAAGCCCUGCCUUCAAGGAACCCAUGAUCCAAUGGUAAAGACAGAUAAGGAAACAGAAAAUUAUUAAUACAAUACAGUAUUCAUGAGCACAGGGUCAGAGGAGUUAAUAACUCAGAUCAGGGAAGGGGAUGGUAAAGAAAGCUUACCAGAGGAGGUAGCUCCUGAGGCACUUGACAGGACCCUUUAAAGGAAGGUGGAAAUAGAACUUAUUUUCCAAGGUCUGAUUAUAUUUUUUCGAGACAAGGUCUUGCUCUGUCUCUUGGACUAGAGUGCAGUGGCAUCAUCAUAGCUCACUGCAACCUCAA
This is a non-coding RNA of Microcebus murinus (gray mouse lemur), 3372 nucleotides long. The record is from RefSeq and is a predicted model, not a curated record. NCBI's taxonomy places the organism in Eukaryota, Metazoa, Chordata, Mammalia, Primates, Cheirogaleidae.